RNAcentral lists this long non-coding RNA (859 nucleotides) under Homo sapiens (human). Its description in RNAcentral is "long non-coding RNA NONHSAT210029.1". Lineage: Eukaryota; Metazoa; Chordata; Mammalia; Primates; Hominidae. The record is from RNAcentral.
CGGGGUGUCAUUGGCUCUGGGAAGCGGCAGCAGAGGCAGGGACCACUCGGGGUCUGGUGUCGGCACAGCCAUGGCGGGCGCGUUGGUGCGGAAAGCGGCGGACUAUGUCCGAAGCAAGGAUUUCCGGGACUACCUCAUGAGCACUUCUGGGGCCCAGUAGCCAACUGGGGUCUUCCCAUUGCUGCCAUCAAUGAUAUGAAAAAGUCUCCAGAGAUUAUCAGUGGGCGGAUGACAUUUGGUACAGCCUCGGAACUGGCUUCUGUUUGCAUGCCACGCAACAAAUGAAGUAGCCCAGCUCAUCCAGGGAGGGCGGCUUAUCAAACACGAGAUGACUAAAACGGCAUCUGCAUAACAAUGGAAAAGGAAGAACAAGGUCUUGAAGGGACAGCAUUGCCAGCUGCUGCUGAGUCACAGAUUUCAUUAUAAAUAGCCUCCCUAAGGAAAAUACACUGAAUGCUAUUUUUACUAACCAUUCUAUUUUUAUAGAAAUAGCUGAGAGUUUCUAAACCAACUCUCUGCUGCCUUACAAGUAUUAAAUAUUUUACUUCUUUCCAUAAAGAGUAGCUCAAAAUAUGCAAUUAAUUUAAUAAUUUCUGAUGAUGGUUUUAUCUGCAGUAAUAUGUAUAUCAUCUAUUAGAAUUUACUUAAUGAAAAACUGAAGAGAACAAAAUUUGUAACCACUAGCACUUAAGUACUCCUGAUUCUUAACAUUGUCUUUAAUGACCACAAGACAACCAACAGCUGGCCACGUACUUAAAAUUUUGUCCCCACUGUUUAAAAAUGUUACCUGUGUAUUUCCAUGCAGUGUAUAUAUUGAGAUGCUGUAACUUAAUGGCAAUAAAUGAUUUAAAUAUUUGUU